Molecule: transfer RNA, 84 nt
Filed under: Candidatus Altimarinota bacterium
Lineage: Bacteria; Candidatus Altimarinota
Description: Candidatus Gracilibacteria bacterium tRNA-Leu
Rfam family: tRNA
About the family: Transfer RNA (tRNA) molecules are approximately 80 nucleotides in length.
Source: RNAcentral
GCCCAGGUGGUGGAAUUGGUAGACACGCAGGACUUAAAAUCCUGUUCCUCUGGAGUGCGGGUUCGAUUCCCGCCCUGGGCACCA